UACAGAGGGGGCAAGCGUUGUUCGGAAUUACUGGGCGUAAAGGGCGCGUAGGCGGCCGAUCAAGUCAGAUGUGAAAGUCCUGGGCUUAACCUGGGGACUGCAUUUGAUACUGAUUGGCUUGAAUGCAGGAGAGGAUAGCGGAAUUCCCAGUGUAGAGGUGAAAUUCGUAGAUAUUGGGAAGAACACCGGUGGCGAAGGCGGCUAUCUGGACUGUGAUUGACGCUGAGGCGCGAAAGCGUGGGGAGCAAACAGG
RNAcentral lists this ribosomal RNA (253 nucleotides) under uncultured bacterium. Its description in RNAcentral is "partial 16S ribosomal RNA". It matches the Rfam family "Bacterial small subunit ribosomal RNA", at positions 524 to 776 of the family's 1533-position model. The record is from RNAcentral.